This 253-nucleotide ribosomal RNA is filed under the name uncultured bacterium. RNAcentral describes it as "partial 16S ribosomal RNA". It matches the Rfam family "Bacterial small subunit ribosomal RNA", at positions 524 to 776 of the family's 1533-position model. The record is from RNAcentral.
GACGGAGGAUGCAAGCGUUGUCCGGAAUUAUUGGGCGUAAAGGGUGCGUAGGUGGUCAGACAAGUCCCAUGUCAAAGCAUGGUGCUUAACGCCAUAAAGGCGUGGGAAACUGUCAGACUAGAGUACAGCAGGGGCAGGAGGAAUUCCCGGUGUAGCGGUGAAAUGCGUAGAUAUCGGGAAGAACACCAGUGGCGCAAGCGUUCUGCUGGGCUGUAACUGACACUGAGGCACGAAAGCUAGGGGAGCGAAAGGG